Molecule: non-coding RNA, 76 nt
Organism: Podarcis lilfordi (Lilford's wall lizard)
Lineage: Eukaryota; Metazoa; Chordata; Lepidosauria; Squamata; Lacertidae
Source: the annotation of a GenBank genome assembly
GGAAGGGCUGUGGCUCAGUGGGUAGAGCCCAUGCCUUGCAUGUACAAGGUCCCAGGUUCAAUUCCUGCUAUCUCCA